Molecule: non-coding RNA, 147 nt
Filed under: Trichodesmium erythraeum
Lineage: Bacteria; Bacillati; Cyanobacteriota; Cyanophyceae; Oscillatoriales; Microcoleaceae
Source: RNAcentral
UUUAAUAUGAAAUCAAUCGGUUCUAAUAGAGAGCAGCUAUUAGAGGAAACGGGGAAAGUUCGGUGUAAAUCCGUCGCUGUCCCGCAACUGUGAUGAGAUACUUUAUUAUCUCUCAGUCAGAAUGCCCGCCGAUUAAUAGUAACUUUA